This 325-nucleotide long non-coding RNA is filed under the name Homo sapiens (human). RNAcentral's name for it is "HSALNT0340922". The record is from RNAcentral. Lineage: Eukaryota; Metazoa; Chordata; Mammalia; Primates; Hominidae.
CCCUUGCCUCACACCGGCCCCUCUCACGCCGAGAGAGGUCAGCGUGAGCCCCUUGCCUCUCACCGGCCCCUCCCACGCCGAGAGAGGUCAGCGUGAGCCCUUGCCUCACACCGGCCCCUCCCACGCCGAGAGAGGUCACCGUGAGCCCCUUGCCUCACACCGGCCCCUCUCACGCCGAGAGAGGUCAGCGUGAGCCCCUUGCCUCACACCGGCCCCUCCCACGCCGAGAGAGGUCAGCGUGAGCCCUUGCCUCACACCGGCCCCUCCCACGCCGAGAGAGGUCGGCGUGAGCCCCUUGCCUCACACUGGCCCCUCCCACGCUGAC